RNAcentral lists this ribosomal RNA (511 nucleotides) under Escherichia coli. RNAcentral describes it as "bacterial SSU rRNA". It matches the Rfam family "Bacterial small subunit ribosomal RNA", at positions 907 to 1418 of the family's 1533-position model. Lineage: Bacteria; Pseudomonadati; Pseudomonadota; Gammaproteobacteria; Enterobacterales; Enterobacteriaceae. The record is from RNAcentral. RNAcentral also lists the same sequence under 1 other name.
GAAUUGACGGGGGCCCGCACAAGCGGUGGAGCAUGUGGUUUAAUUCGAUGCAACGCGAAGAACCUUACCUGGUCUUGACAUCCACGGAAGUUUUCAGAGAUGAGAAUGUGCCUUCGGGAACCGUGAGACAGGUGCUGCAUGGCUGUCGUCAGCUCGUGUUGUGAAAUGUUGGGUUAAGUCCCGCAACGAGCGCAACCCUUAUCCUUUGUUGCCAGCGGUCCGGCCGGGAACUCAAAGGAGACUGCCAGUGAUAAACUGGAGGAAGGUGGGGAUGACGUCAAGUCAUCAUGGCCCUUACGACCAGGGCUACACACGUGCUACAAUGGCGCAUACAAAGAGAAGCGACCUCGCGAGAGCAAGCGGACCUCAUAAAGUGCGUCGUAGUCCGGAUUGGAGUCUGCAACUCGACUCCAUGAAGUCGGAAUCGCUAGUAAUCGUGGAUCAGAAUGCCACGGUGAAUACGUUCCCGGGCCUUGUACACACCGCCCGUCACACCAUGGGAGUGGGUUGC